UAAAGAAACUUAUGUUUUGCUCUUAGAAGCGUCUAUCUCGUGUAUUGUAGUAGUUAAAGCAAAAGUCUAACUAGCUUUAUAUACGUAGUCGAAACUGAGAGGUUGAUCGACCACAGUGGGCCUGAAGAAAGCCCACGAUGAUUAUUACAGCAGUGAGGAAUAUUGGUCAAUAGCCUAACGGCUGAACCAGCAACUUGGAGGAAUGUAUAGUAAUAGCUGAUUGCGCUAACAAAUAGUUGAUGCAAGAUUGACUCUGUCAAAUAAAAUUCUAGGCAGAAUUAUGAUAAUGACAUUGUCUGCCUAUAUGUCUUGACCAAAUUACGUGCCAGCUGUCGCGGUAAUACGUAGAAGACUAGUGUUAUUCAUCUUUAAUAGGUUUAAAGGGUACCUAGACGGUAAAUCAAGCCUUAGUCGGGACUAAUUUGCUAGAGUUACUUACGAGGGGGUAUUAAAGUACUGAUGGUGUAGAGAUGAAAUUCUGUCAUACCUCUUUUCGAAAGAAAAAUUACGGCACAGGUAUAGGCGAAAGCAUCCCCUUAUGUGAUAACUGACGUUGAGGGACGAAGGCUUUGUGUAGCGAACAGGAUUAGAUACCCCAAUAGUCAAAGCAGAGAAUGAUGAAUGUCAUAGAUUAGAUUCUUAGUUUAUUCUAUAAAUGAAAGUGUAAUGAAAUCAUUAGACCGUUUCUGAAACCAGUAGUGAAGUAUGUUGUUUAAUUUGAUAAUCCGCAAAAAACCUUACCACAAUUUGAAUAUUUAUAUUUACCUUUUUAUUUUGUGUAACGUAAAAAGGUUAUAUAUUUACAAGCGUUGCACGGCUGUCUUCAGUUAAUGUCGCGAGACUUUGGUUAGCUCCAUGAAAUUAACGUAAACCCUUACUUUAUU
This 884-nucleotide ribosomal RNA is filed under the name Squamarina cartilaginea. RNAcentral describes it as "SSU rRNA". It matches the Rfam family "Bacterial small subunit ribosomal RNA", at positions 202 to 1115 of the family's 1533-position model. Lineage: Eukaryota; Fungi; Ascomycota; Lecanoromycetes; Lecanorales; Squamarinaceae. The record is from RNAcentral.